RNAcentral lists this ribosomal RNA (620 nucleotides) under uncultured Campylobacterota bacterium. RNAcentral describes it as "bacterial SSU rRNA". It matches the Rfam family "Bacterial small subunit ribosomal RNA", at positions 854 to 1479 of the family's 1533-position model. The record is from RNAcentral. Lineage: Bacteria; Pseudomonadati; Campylobacterota.
AACACAUUAAGUGUACCGCCUGGGGAGUACGGUCGCAAGAUUAAAACUCAAAGGAAUAGACGGGGACCCGCACAAGCGGUGGAGCAUGUGGUUUAAUUCGAAGAUACGCGAAAAACCUUACCUGGCGUUGACAUUGAUAGAAUCCUGUAGAGAUACGGGAGUGCCGGCUUGCCGGAACUUGAAAACAGGUGCUGCACGGCUGUCGUCAGCUCGUGUCGUGAGAUGUUGGGUUAAGUCCCGCAACGAGCGCAACCCACGUCCUUAGUUGCCAGCAUUUCGGAUGGGAACUCUAAGGAGACUGCCUUCGCAAGGAGGAGGAAGGUGUGGACGACGUCAAGUCAUCAUGGCCCUUACGGCCAGGGCUACACACGUGCUACAAUGGGGCGUACAAAGAGCAGCAAUACCGCGAGGUGGAGCAAAUCUCAAAAACGCCUCCCAGUUCAGAUUGCACUCUGCAACUCGAGUGCAUGAAGUUGGAAUCGCUAGUAAUCGUAGAUCAGCAUUGCUACGGUGAAUACGUUCCCGGGUCUUGUACUCACCGCCCGUCACACCAUGGGAGUUGAUUUCACCCGAAGCGGGGAUGNUAAAGUAGUACCUUUCACGGUGAAUCAGCGACUGGG